GAUGAACGCUAGCUACAGGCUUAACACAUGCAAGUCGAGGGGCAGCAUGAUUGAAGCUUGCUUCAAUUGAUGGCGACCGGCGCACGGGUGAGUAACACGUAUCCAACCUUCCGUACACUCAGGGAUAGCCUUUCGAAAGAAAGAUUAAUACCUGAUGGUAUCUUAAGCACACAUGUAAUUAAGAUUAAAGAUUUAUCGGUGUACCGAUGGGGAUGCGUUCCAUUAGGUAGUAGGCGGGGUAACGGCCCACCUAGCCUACGAUGGAUAGGGGUUCUGAGAGGAAGGUCCCCCACAUUGGAACUGAGACACGGUCCAAACUCCUACGGGAGGCAGCAGUGAGGAAUAUUGGUCAAUGGACGAGAGUCUGAACCAGCCAAGUAGCGUGAAGGAUGAAGGUCCUACGGAUUGUAAACUUCUUUUAUAAGGGAAUAAAACCUCCCACGUGUGGGAGCUUGUAUGUACCUUAUGAAUAAGCAUCGGCUAACUCCGUG
RNAcentral lists this ribosomal RNA (491 nucleotides) under uncultured bacterium. RNAcentral describes it as "bacterial SSU rRNA". It matches the Rfam family "Bacterial small subunit ribosomal RNA", at positions 28 to 507 of the family's 1533-position model. The record is from RNAcentral.